RNAcentral lists this ribosomal RNA (253 nucleotides) under uncultured bacterium. Its description in RNAcentral is "partial 16S ribosomal RNA". It matches the Rfam family "Bacterial small subunit ribosomal RNA", at positions 524 to 776 of the family's 1533-position model. The record is from RNAcentral.
UACGUAGGGUGCGAGCGUUGCCCGGAUUUAUUGGGCGUAAAGGGCGCGUAGGCGGCUCGGCACGUCCGUUGUGAAAUCGCCCGGCUCAACUGGGCGGGGUCGGCGGAUACGGCCGAGCUGGAGCAAGCUAGGGGGUAAUGGAAUUCCCGGUGUAGUGGUGGAAUGCGUAGAUAUAGGAAGGAACACCAGUGGCGAAGGCGACCACCUGGGCUCAUACUGACACUGAGGUGCGAAAGCGUGGGGAGCAAACAGG